AAAGGGAGACCUAAUUCCGGUAGGAGACGAAAAAAAAGUAGUCCCAACCAAGAAUCAAUCCCAAAAGGUCGGAGCGAGGCGAAAUUGGCUUUCAAACUAGGUUCUGGGUUCACACAAGACCUGAAUCAGGAACAAGGGCUAUUAGCUCAGGUGGUUAGAGCGCACCCCUGAUAAGGGUGAGGUCCCUGGUUCGAGUCCAGGAUGGCCCACCUGCACAGGUGGCAAAAACAAAGAAAAAAAGCUCCGAAUCAGCACCUUAUCUUACUUAUACAGUAAGAGAGAAUGCUGGCUCUGAGUUCAGAGUCCAGAGGAACCUUGAAAACUGCAUAGAGCUAGGUGAAAAAGCCAAAAAAGAAGACCGCAAG
RNAcentral lists this transfer RNA (365 nucleotides) under uncultured Microcystis sp. RNAcentral's name for it is "partial 16S-23S ribosomal RNA intergenic spacer". The stretch from base 136 to 209 matches the Rfam family "tRNA". Lineage: Bacteria; Bacillati; Cyanobacteriota; Cyanophyceae; Chroococcales; Microcystaceae. The record is from RNAcentral.